RNAcentral lists this ribosomal RNA (330 nucleotides) under uncultured eukaryote. RNAcentral's name for it is "partial 18S ribosomal RNA". It matches the Rfam family "Eukaryotic small subunit ribosomal RNA", at positions 1470 to 1796 of the family's 1831-position model. The record is from RNAcentral.
CCCUUAGAUGUUCUGGGCCGCACGCGUGCUACACUGAUGCAUUCAACGAGUCUAAAACCUGGUCUGAUAGGGCUGGGUAAUCUUUUGAAAGUGCAUCGUGAUUGGGAUAGAUGAUUGCAAUUCUUCAUCUUCAACGAGGAAUGCCUAGUAAACGCAAGUCAUCAGCUUGCAUUGAUUACGUCCCUGCCCUUUGUACACACCGCCCGUCGCUCCUACCGAUUGAAUGAUCCGAUGAAUACCAUGGAUUGAGAGUACGAAUAGGUUCGCUUAUUUCUGCUUCUCGAGAAGUGGAGCAAAUCUUAUCAUUUAGAGGAAGGAGAAGUCGUAACA